UACGUAGGGUGCGAGCGUUAAUCGGAAUUACUGGGCGUAAAGCGUGCGCAGGCGGCGCGCUAAGCCAGAGGUGAAAUCCCCGGGCUCAACCUGGGAAUGGCCUUUGGGACUGGUGUGCUCGAGUGCGGCAGAGGGGGGUGGAAUUCCUGGUGUAGCAGUGAAAUGCGUAGAGAUCAGGAGGAACACCGAUGGCGAAGGCAGCCCCCUGGGCCAGCACUGACGCUCAGGCACGAAAGCGUGGGGAGCAAACAGG
Molecule: ribosomal RNA, 253 nt
Filed under: uncultured bacterium
Lineage: Bacteria
Description: partial 16S ribosomal RNA
Rfam family: Bacterial small subunit ribosomal RNA
Source: RNAcentral